Molecule: ribosomal RNA, 509 nt
Filed under: uncultured bacterium
Lineage: Bacteria
Description: bacterial SSU rRNA
Rfam family: Bacterial small subunit ribosomal RNA
Source: RNAcentral
CUGGCGGCGUGCCUAAUACAUGCAAGUCGAACGGUCUUUCUAUGGAAGCUUGCUUCCACUGAGAAGAUAGUGGCGAACGGGUGAGUAACACGUGGGUAACCUGCCCAUAAGAGGGGGAUAACAUCCGGAAACGGGUGCUAAUACCGCAUAGUUUUCUUGAUUGCAUGAUCGGGAAAGGAAAGACGGCCUUUGUGCUGUCGCUUAUGGAUGGACCCGCGGCGUAUUAGUUAGUUGGUGAGGUAACGGCUCACCAAGACGAUGAUACGUAGCCGACCUGAGAGGGUGAUCGGCCACAUUGGGACUGAGACACGGCCCAAACUCCUACGGGAGGCAGCAGUAGGGAAUCUUCCGCAAUGGACGAAAGUCUGACGGAGCAACGCCGCGUGAGUGAAGAAAGGUUUUCGGAUCGUAAAACUCUGUUGUCAGAGAAGAACAAGUUGGAGAGUAACUGCUCCAGCCUUGACGGUAUCUGACCAGAAAGCCACGGCUAACUACGUGCCAGCCGCGGC